Long non-coding RNA from Archocentrus centrarchus (flier cichlid), 988 nucleotides. RefSeq lists it as uncharacterized. Lineage: Eukaryota; Metazoa; Chordata; Actinopteri; Cichliformes; Cichlidae. The transcript has 3 exons. The record is from RefSeq and is a predicted model, not a curated record.
CCAAUAUUUCACUUUCAGUUCAGAUCUGACGGGCAGCUUUAAAUGUAAACACAUGAAAUUGUUUUUUGCGUUAUUUUGGCCUGAAGGUGAUUCGUGGUUUUCGGAACUUUUUGUAAUUAAAAGGCUGGAUUUAUGAAGCUGUAAACUGAUCACAGCGAGCGAGAACGCAAAUGGGAGUUCGUGUUCGAGACUUGCGUAUUUCGCCUGAAGCGCUGACCAAAAUAAAAGUGAAACCACCGGAGGAGCAAAAACCAACCGUCUGAUUCUUUGUUCAGCUUAUUCGACCUUUAACUCAAACGGCAAUGGAUUUUGUUCAACUUCAGUGUGGGAUAAGUUGACGGAGGCAUGAUUUAAAGUGUGAAUCGGCUCUGCUGAGAGGUGGCUCAAAUAACAGCCGAGCAGUGACCACAGAUGCUAAUGUUGGGCUUCCUCAACGGCUAAGUUGUUCCAGUCUCGAGUAUGCCAACCACAGAAGCUCACGCAUUUUCUUGGAUAUUUUCAUGGAGUAGAUGUUUACUAUUUAAAAAACUACAGACGUGUUCACCGCUGCUGACCACAUAUUUUCAUGGGACUUCGCACUCAUAAGAAAAUCAUAAAGCAGCUGUCAUAACAAACUUUUAACAAACAUCAAGUAAAGGGACCGGUUCUUCUGUAGCACUUUUCUGCUCGGGCGCAACAUGCCUCAUUCACAGCAGCACAUUUUCCCUACACCUAAAUGCUUUCUAUCACAUUUAUACACAUACACACCGCCCUCCAAGGAACACAUCUUGGGUUCAGCAACUUGCCGAGGGAUACUCUGGCACGCAGGAAUUGAAACACCAACCUUCUGAUUAGUAGAUGGCCCGCUCUCCCUCCUGAGAUGCAGUCAACCUGGCCUCUGUUUGAUAUGUGUAUUAUGUAGUUAGUUUGUUACGUGACAACAUCACACUGCCACGUAAAGCCAGUUUUUUAAGCAAAAAAAGUAUGUUAUGUAAAGUAUGUAAAAAAA